This 528-nucleotide small RNA is filed under the name Pongo abelii (Sumatran orangutan). RNAcentral describes it as "processed transcript". Lineage: Eukaryota; Metazoa; Chordata; Mammalia; Primates; Hominidae. The record is from RNAcentral.
CUCGGGCUGAUGCUAGGGCGCUGUCUCAGGGCAAGGAGGAAAGACGGUAGAAGAGGCUGCGGACCUAUCGUUGGGCUAUAUGAAGUCAAGGGUUAAAGGUUUAGGUGGCCUCAUCGUGGUUAGCAAAACAGGAGACUGGGUGGCAAAGUGGACGUCCACCUGCAUGCCGUGGGCAGCCGCCAAGGACGGCAAGCUGCACUUCGGAAUUGAUCCUGACGAUACUACUAUCACCGACCUUCCCUAAGCCGCUGGAAGACUGUAUUCCAGAUGCUAGCUUAGAGGUCAAGUACAGUCUCCUCGUGAGACAUAGCCUAAUCAAUUAGAUCUAGAAUUGGAAAAAUUGUCCCGUCUGUCACUUGUUUUGUUGCCUUAAUAAGCAUCUGAAUGUUUGGUUGUGGGGCGGGUUCUGAAGCGAUGAGAGAAAUGCCCGUAUUAGGAGGAUUACUUGAGCCCUGGAGGUCAAAGCUGAGGUGAGCCAUGAUUACUCCACUGCACUCCAGCCUGGGCAACAGAGCGAGACCCUGUAUC